Molecule: ribosomal RNA, 426 nt
Filed under: uncultured bacterium
Lineage: Bacteria
Description: partial 16S ribosomal RNA
Rfam family: Bacterial small subunit ribosomal RNA
Source: RNAcentral
GUGAGGAAUUUUCCGCAAUGGGCGAAAGCCUGACGGAGCAAUGCCGAGUGAAGGAUGAAGGCCUAUGGGUUGUAAACUUCUUUUCUCAGAAAAGAAUUAUGACGGUAUCUGAGGAAUAAGCAUCGGCUAACUCUGUGCCAGCAGCCGCGGUAAGACAGAGGAUGCAAGCGUUAUCCGGAAUGAUUGGGCGUAAAGCGUCUGUAGGUUGUUUAAAAAGUAUUCUGUCAAAGAUUAGGGCUUAACCCUAGAUAGGCAGAAUAAACUUUUAAGCUAGAGUGUGGUAGAGGCAGAGGGAAUUCCCGGUGGAGCGGUGAAAUGCGUAGAUAUCGGGAGGAACACCAAAGGCGAAGGCACUCUGCUGGGCCAAUACUAACACUGAGAGACGAAAGCGAGGGGAGCAAAUGGGAUUAGAUACCCGUGUAGUCC